RNAcentral lists this ribosomal RNA (119 nucleotides) under Pteropus alecto (black flying fox). The record is from RNAcentral. Lineage: Eukaryota; Metazoa; Chordata; Mammalia; Chiroptera; Pteropodidae.
GUCUACGGCCAUGCCACCCUGAACAAGCCCGAUCUCAUCUGAUCUCGGAAGCUAAGCAGAGUUGGGCCUGUUUAGUACUUGGAUGGGAGACCACCUAGGAAGACCAGAUGCUGUAAACG